GUCGUGAGAUGUUGGGUUAAGUCCCGCAACGAGCGCAACCCCUGUUCUUAGUUGCCAGCGCGUAAUGGCGGGGACUCUAGGAAGACUGCCGGUGCCAAACCGGAGGAAGGUGGGGACGACGUCAAGUCAUCAUGGUCCUUACGUCUAGGGCUACACACGUGCUACAAUGGGCGGGACAGAGGGGGCCGAGGCAGCAAUGCCAAGGCAAUCCCAAAACCCGUCCUCAGUUCGGAUUGUCGUCUGCAACUCGACGGCAUGAAGCUGGAAUCGCUAGUAAUCGUGGAUCAGCAUCGCCACGGUGAAUACGUUCCCGGGCCUUGUACACACCGCCCGUCACGCCAUGGAAGUGGUGAGCGCCCGAAGUCCGUGUCGGAACCCGCAAGGGGCCAAGCGGCCGAAGGCGAGCAUCAUGACUGGGGCGAAGUCGUAACAAGGUAGCCGUAGGGGAACCUGCGGCUGGAUCACCUCCUUAACGGAGCUGCGAGUAAGGCAGAACAAGCCUGGGCAACCAGGAGUUACUUUGCCGGAAAGCACUCACGUGUCGCUCGUCUCGUAACAUCCAGAUCUCAACUCUCGAUUUCCAUAUAUAAAUCGAGCCCGACUCAUAAACCGCGCAAGCGGAGUGUGAAUCGAGGCUCGAAAGAAGUAGAAGGGCUUUUAGCUAAGUCCUUAAGCACCAAGCGACAGAGCGCUUAUAUCUCGAAAGUUUUUUGACAAUGGAAGGUAGUAGUGAUCGUGGGAUUUGAGUACUGGGAUUUGAUAAGAUCCUGGUACUGAGAAUCAACACUAGUGACGCAAUUUCAUGCGAAGCUCUGACCUAACGGUUGGGGCUCGAUUUGUCUCAAAGAGCUUUUUCAGCUCCGAGAGUCCAAAGAUUGUAUCACUCGUUAGAUCGUGCGUGUUUCUGUUUGAACAAGUCAUUUGAUCAAGCGAAAGAAAGUAUGUGGGGGAUGCCUAGGUACACAGAGGCGAUGAAGGCCGUGGUAAGCUGCGAUAAGCCAAAGUUGAGCGGCACACACGCUAUGACACUUGGAUUG
RNAcentral lists this small RNA (1037 nucleotides) under uncultured Gemmatimonas sp. RNAcentral describes it as "bacterial SSU rRNA". The stretch from base 1 to 472 matches the Rfam family "Bacterial small subunit ribosomal RNA", at positions 1064 to 1533 of the family's 1533-position model. Lineage: Bacteria; Pseudomonadati; Gemmatimonadota; Gemmatimonadia; Gemmatimonadales; Gemmatimonadaceae. The record is from RNAcentral.